RNAcentral lists this ribosomal RNA (614 nucleotides) under Escherichia coli. Its description in RNAcentral is "partial 23S ribosomal RNA". It matches the Rfam family "Bacterial large subunit ribosomal RNA", at positions 623 to 1238 of the family's 2925-position model. Lineage: Bacteria; Pseudomonadati; Pseudomonadota; Gammaproteobacteria; Enterobacterales; Enterobacteriaceae. The record is from RNAcentral.
GCGACUUAUAUUCUGUAGCAAGGUUAACCGAAUAGGGGAGCCGAAGGGAAACCGAGUCUUAACUGGGCGUUAAGUUGCAGGGUAUAGACCCGAAACCCGGUGAUCUAGCCAUGGGCAGGUUGAAGGUUGGGUAACACUAACUGGAGGACCGAACCGACUAAUGUUGAAAAAUUAGCGGAUGACUUGUGGCUGGGGGUGAAAGGCCAAUCAAACCGGGAGAUAGCUGGUUCUCCCCGAAAGCUAUUUAGGUAGCGCCUCGUGAAUUCAUCUCCGGGGGUAGAGCACUGUUUCGGCAAGGGGGUCAUCCCGACUUACCAACCCGAUGCAAACUGCGAAUACCGGAGAAUGUUAUCACGGGAGACACACGGCGGGUGCUAACGUCCGUCGUGAAGAGGGAAACAACCCAGACCGCCAGCUAAGGUCCCAAAGUCAUGGUUAAGUGGGAAACGAUGUGGGAAGGCCCAGACAGCCAGGAUGUUGGCUUAGAAGCAGCCAUCAUUUAAAGAAAGCGUAAUAGCUCACUGGUCGAGUCGGCCUGCGCGGAAGAUGUAACGGGGCUAAACCAUGCACCGAAGCUGCGGCAGCGACACUAUGUGUUGUUGGGUAGGGGAGCG